Gasterosteus aculeatus aculeatus (three-spined stickleback) is the source of this 364-nucleotide long non-coding RNA. NCBI's taxonomy places the organism in Eukaryota, Metazoa, Chordata, Actinopteri, Perciformes, Gasterosteidae. The record is from Ensembl.
UGCUGUUGCACCACCACAAAACCAAAACCACCAGGGAGUCCUUACCUGUGAAACCAGUGGAAAGAGAAGAACGGGUGCCCUGUUCGAGUGCUGAUCAUUUAAUCCCCUCCCUGCCUGGCCCUGGGAUCCUUUCUUUCCAUUUGUAAUCGCAGUGCUGAACUAGAACAUCAGAGAUUAGUGCAUGAUUAGGAUGUCUACUGACCUCGGCUUGCCCACGGCCCCUCAGCUUUAUCUCGUCUGGCACCGACUCAUCAGGGGGGAACAUCUUGCAGCCAUAACUUUCCCAGAGAUGUAUGUUUCUGCCUCAUAGUAGGAUAAAAUGAAAACAAGGGAAUCUUUCUAUUUCAUAUGAUGUGAACAUGGC